CCAAUAGCGUAUAUUAAAGUUGUUGCAGUUAAAAAGCUCGUAGUUGAAUUUCGGGAUCAGUACGCCGGUCGUGCCUUCGGUAUGCACUGGUGUCACUGGUUCCUCCCUUCUGAAGAACCGUCAUGCCAUUCACUUGGUGUGGCGGGAAAUCAGGACUGUUACUUUGAAAAAAUUAGAGUGUUUAAAGCAGGCUCACGCUUGAAUACAUUAGCAUGGAAUAAUGAAAUAGGACGUUGAUCUUAUUUUGUUGGUUUCUAGGAUUGACGUAAUGAUUAAUAGGGAUAGUUGGGGGCAUUAGUAUUCAAUUGUCAGAGGUGAAAUUCUUGGAUUUAUUGAAGACUAACUACUGCAAAAGCAUUUGCCAAGGAUGUUUUCAUUAAUCAAGAACGAAAGUUAGGGGAUCGAAGACGAUCAGAUACCGUCGUAGUCUUAACCAUAAACUAUGCCGACUAGGGAUCGGAUGAUGUUAAUUUUUUAAUGACUCAUUCGGCGCCUUACG
This 499-nucleotide ribosomal RNA is filed under the name uncultured Glomeromycotina. Its description in RNAcentral is "partial small subunit ribosomal RNA". It matches the Rfam family "Eukaryotic small subunit ribosomal RNA", at positions 591 to 1092 of the family's 1831-position model. Lineage: Eukaryota; Fungi; Glomeromycota. The record is from RNAcentral.